UAGGGAAUCUUCCGCAAUGGACGCAAGUCUGACGGAGCAACGCCGCGUGAGUGAAGAAGGAUUUCGGUUCGUAAAACUCUGUUGUUAGAGAAGAACAGCGCAUAGAGUAACUGUUAUGCGUGUGACGGCAUCUAACCAGAAAGCCACGGCUAACUACGUGCCAGCAGCCGCGGUAAUACGUAGGUGGCAAGCGUUGUCCGGAUUUAUUGGGCGUAAAGCGAGCGCAGGCGGUCAAUUAAGUCUGAUGUGAAAGCCCCCGGCUCAACCGGGGAGGGUCAUUGGAAACUGGUUGACUUGAGUGCAGAAGAGGAGAGUGGAAUUCCAUGUGUAGCGGUGAAAUGCGUAGAUAUAUGGAGGAACACCAGUGGCGAAGGCGACUCUCUGGUCUGUAACUGACGCUGAGGUUCGAAAGCGUGGGUAGCAAACAGG
RNAcentral lists this ribosomal RNA (429 nucleotides) under Bacteroidota bacterium. Its description in RNAcentral is "Bacteroidetes bacterium partial 16S ribosomal RNA". It matches the Rfam family "Bacterial small subunit ribosomal RNA", at positions 355 to 776 of the family's 1533-position model. Lineage: Bacteria; Pseudomonadati; Bacteroidota. The record is from RNAcentral.